AGAGAGAGACAUGCGCGCAUAUCAAUAAGCGGAGGAAAAGGAAACUAACAAGGAUUCCCUUAGUAACGGCGAGUGAAGCGGGAAGAGCUCAAAUUUGAAAUCUUCAAGGUUCUACCUUGACGAAUUGUAGUUUAUAGAAGUGUUUUCUGUUAGUGGAGUGGCAAAAGUUCUUUGGAAUAGGACAUCAUAGAGGGUGAGAAUCCCGUAUUUGGUCAUUCCUCCUAGCGUUGUGAUACACUUUCAACGAGUCGGAUUGUUUGGGAAUGCAGUCCAAAAUGGGUGGUAAAUUUCAUCUAAAGCUAAAUAUUGGCGAGAGACCGAUAGCGAACAAGUACCGUGAGGGAAAGAUGAAAAGAACUUUGAAAAGAGAGUUAAACAGUACGUGAAAUUGUCAAAAGGGAAGCGUUUGACACCAGUGUUGUUUUUCCGAAAAUCAAUUACGAAUGUUUUAUUUUUGAGGAGUUAUGACUUCAUCGGCUUGCUCCUUUCUUUAUGAAACUUUCUUAAUGCACUUUUCGGUUAACAAGUCAACAUCAAUUUCUUUUGUUGUAAAAGGGUAUGAGGAAGGUGGCUUUCUUUUCGGAGAAAGUGUUUAUAGCCUUGUGCCUCUGCAAUCGGAGAGAUUGAGGUCUGCAGCGUAGAUCCUUCGGGGUUAGAUACGUUUGUGCUAAGUUAUAGCUUUUCAUAGACAACUUGUUGACUAUGUUUAGUCUUGUAGCUUACUCGCUGACGCUAUUUUACCUACGCUUAGGAUGUUGAUAGUCACAGCGUGUAC
RNAcentral lists this ribosomal RNA (775 nucleotides) under uncultured Neocallimastigales. Its description in RNAcentral is "partial large subunit ribosomal RNA". It matches the Rfam family "Eukaryotic large subunit ribosomal RNA", at positions 23 to 644 of the family's 3401-position model. Lineage: Eukaryota; Fungi; Neocallimastigomycota; Neocallimastigomycetes; Neocallimastigales. The record is from RNAcentral.